RNAcentral lists this ribosomal RNA (467 nucleotides) under uncultured bacterium. RNAcentral's name for it is "bacterial SSU rRNA". It matches the Rfam family "Bacterial small subunit ribosomal RNA", at positions 329 to 794 of the family's 1533-position model. The record is from RNAcentral.
UACCAGACUCCUACGGGAGGCAGCAGUGAGGAAUAUUGGUCAAUGGCCGCAGGGCUGAACCAGCCAAGUCGCGUGAGGGAUGACGGUCCUAUGGAUUGUAAACCUCUUUUGUCAGGGAGCAAAGGGCGCCACGUGUGGCGCUUUGCGAGUACCUGAAGAAAAAGCAUCGGCUAACUCCGUGCCAGCAGCCGCGGUAAUACGGAGGAUGCGAGCGUUAUCCGGAUUUAUUGGGUUUAAAGGGUGCGUAGGCGGAAUGCCAAGUCAGCGGUAAAAUCGCGGGGCUCAACCUCGCUCCGCCGUUGAAACUGGUUUUCUUGAGUGAGCGAGAAGUAUGCGGAAUGCGUGGUGUAGCGGUGAAAUGCAUAGAUAUCACGCAGAACUCCGAUUGCGAAGGCAGCAUACCGGCGCUCAACUGACGCUCAUGCACGAAAGUGUGGGUAUCGAACAGGAUUAGAUACCCGGGUACA